This 427-nucleotide long non-coding RNA is filed under the name Androctonus crassicauda. The record is from RNAcentral. Lineage: Eukaryota; Metazoa; Arthropoda; Arachnida; Scorpiones; Buthidae.
AGUUAAUUUAAGCAGUUAAGUAAGUUUACUAUAAAAAAAAAAAAAAAAAACUUAUAUUAAACUAAGUCAUAUUAAAUAUAAAUCAUAUUAAGACCAAUAUAGAUCAGAACAUUUGUUCUGAUUUAUGUCAGAAAGUUAUGAUCACGGAUCAGGUAAAAUGGAUACGAAACUUCGACGAUUUUUACAACUCUGCUUUCCACCGGCCACUUGGGGGCACUGAUAGUCUGAAAAAAAUGGCGUCGGUCGGACAUUCUUGCUGUGCGGCAUCAUUUUGUAAAAAUUAUAAACAGAAAACCCCGCAUUUAUCAUUUUUUAGAUUCCCUAGUGAUUCUAAAAGGUAUGUAUAAUAUUAUAUUUUGUAUUUUAUAUGUAGCAUUGUUGUUAUAACUACUCUGAAGAUAGGUUUUCGUUGUUCUGUUUAUAAAAA